GACGAACGCUGGCGGCGUGCUUAACACAUGCAAGUCGAACGGAAAGGCCCUGCUUUUGUGGGGUGCUCGAGUGGCGAACGGGUGAGUCACACGUGUGUCACCUGCCCUUGAUUUUGGGAUCUCUUCAGGAAACUGGGGCUAAUACCGGAUAGGCGCUCCUGCUGCAUGGUGGGGGUUGGGAAGUUUCGGCGGUUGGGGAUGGACUCGCGGCUUAUCAGCCUGCCGGUGGGGUAGUGGGUUACCAAGGCUGUGACGGGUAGCGGGCCUGGGAGGGUGACCGGCCACAUGGGGACGGAGAUACGGCCCAGACGCCUACGGGAGGCAGCAGUGAGGAAUGUUGCACAAUGGGCGGAAGCCUGAUGCAGCAACGCCGCGUGCGGGAUUACGGCCUUCGGGUUGUAGACCGCUUGCGCCUGUGACGAAGCGUGAGUGACGGUAAUGGGUAAAGAAGCACCGGCUAACUACGUG
Molecule: ribosomal RNA, 468 nt
Filed under: uncultured bacterium
Lineage: Bacteria
Description: partial 16S ribosomal RNA
Rfam family: Bacterial small subunit ribosomal RNA
Source: RNAcentral